CAGUCGCCGCGGGAAUACGUAGGGUGCAAGCGUUAAUCGGAAUUACUGGGCGUAAAGCGUGCGCAGGCGGUUCGUUAAGACAGAUGUGAAAUCCCCGGGCUUAACCUGGGAACUGCAUUUGUGACUGGCGGGCUAGAGUAUGGCAGAGGGGGGUAGAAUUCCACGUGUAGCAGUGAAAUGCGUAGGGAUGUGGAGGAAUACCGAUGGCGAAGGCAGCCCCCUGGGCCAAUACUGACGCUCAUGCACGAAAGCGUGGGGAGCAAACAGGAUUAGAUACCCGCGUAGUCCCUGUCUCUUAUAA
Molecule: ribosomal RNA, 301 nt
Filed under: uncultured bacterium
Lineage: Bacteria
Description: partial 16S ribosomal RNA
Rfam family: Bacterial small subunit ribosomal RNA
Source: RNAcentral